UGAGUCAGUCAGGCGGCCGCGUCGGACCUCCGGGUCCGCCGAGGAACGUCCGGGCUCCGCAGGGCAGGGUGGUGGGUAACACCCACCCGGGGUGACCCGCGGGACAGUGCCACAGAGAACAGACCGCCUCCUCGGUCCGCCGAGAAGGUAAGGGUGAAACGGUGGUGUAAGAGACCACCAGCGUGCCGGGCGACCGGUGCGGCUCGGUAAACCCCACCCGGAGCAAGGCCAGACAGGGAGCGUUCGAGGGCUGCCCGCCCGAGCUCCCGGGUAGGCCGCUGGAGGCGUGCGGCAACGUACGUCGUAGAGGGAUGGCCGCCACCCGCGCACGGGGCAACCCAGCGCGGGGACAGAACCCGGCGUAUCGACUGACUCAUCCG
This 380-nucleotide RNase P RNA is filed under the name Cellulomonas sp. Its description in RNAcentral is "RNase P RNA component class A". It matches the Rfam family "Bacterial RNase P class A". Rfam says of the family: Ribonuclease P (RNase P) is a ubiquitous endoribonuclease, found in archaea, bacteria and eukarya as well as chloroplasts and mitochondria. Its best characterised activity is the generation of mature 5'-ends of tRNAs by cleaving the 5'-leader elements of precursor-tRNAs. The record is from RNAcentral. Lineage: Bacteria; Bacillati; Actinomycetota; Actinomycetes; Micrococcales; Cellulomonadaceae.